AUUGAACGCUGGCGGCAGGCCUAACACAUGCAAGUCGAGCGGAUGAAGGGAGCUUGCUCCUGGAUUCAGCGGCGGACGGGUGAGUAAUGCCUAGGAAUCUGCCUGGUAGUGGGGGAUAACGUCCGGAAAUGGGCGCUAAUACCGCAUACGUCCUGAGGGAGAAAGUGGGGGAUCUUCGGACCUCACGCUAUCAGAUGAGCCUAGGUCGGAUUAGCUAGUUGGUGGGGUAAAGGCCUACCAAGGCGACGAUCCGUAACUGGUCUGAGAGGAUGAUCAGUCACACUGGAACUGAGACACGGUCCAGACUCCUACGGGAGGCAGCAGUGGGGAAUAUUGGACAAUGGGCGAAAGCCUGAUCCAGCCAUGCCGCGUGUGUGAAGAAGGUCUUCGGAUUGUAAAGCACUUUAAGUUGGGAGGAAGGGCAGUAAGUUAAUACCUUGCUGUUUUGACGUUACCAACAGAAUAAGCACCGGCUAGCUUCGUG
This 484-nucleotide ribosomal RNA is filed under the name uncultured bacterium. RNAcentral describes it as "partial 16S ribosomal RNA". It matches the Rfam family "Bacterial small subunit ribosomal RNA", at positions 30 to 507 of the family's 1533-position model. The record is from RNAcentral.